CCUUUUUCAUUAUCCAUGAAUGUUGACUCUGAUAAGGGGAUCCUGACCAUGAGAGCAUCUCUCUGUCUCGGUCUCCGGCGCUCUUUGCAGUCCUUUGUUUUAUCUCAGGUGAAUUGUAAUCAUGUGAUCAAACGAACACCCCCCUUCCAUUACCCUCUUAAAUGAAAAAAUGAGGAACAAAAAGCAGUUCUGUGUAUAUAAAAAAAGAAAAGAAAAGAGAAAAGACGCGCGUCUCCCUUUGGAGAGUCUUUUCUCCGUGUGGCUUCAAACGUACACAUAUAGAGGAAAAGCGCGGCGCCGUGUCUCCGUCUCUCGGCGGUACAGAUGUGCGGGGAUCACGCGGAUCUGAGGCCUGCUGCACGCUUUGAUCAGAUGUGCUCCUGCGGUUGAGGAAGACUCCGAAGGGCGAUGAGGAAGAGUGUGAGGCUGUAAAGACUGACUGACUUUCCAAUCAUGUGUUUUUCUGGGAACAUUGAAUUACAGCGGUGGGGGGCGGAGAUGAACGAAUGAAAGGAGUCGUUGUUACUGACGGGAUGGACAGAUGAAAGAGAGAGAAAGAGAGAGAGAUGAAAGACAGAGAGGAUGAGAAAUCACUGUGACAAACACACACACACACACACAUGAUGUGAGAGAUUCAUAACACACUCGUUCAUCACUGUAAAGUGUGUUGUUUUGGGUCCAGUGCACUUGUAGUGAACUUCAAAUUAAAAGUAGUUUUUUUUAUUUUACUUUAAAGUGCUUUAAAUCAAUAUGUUUUAAUUUCAUUUCAUGCUUUAAUGAUUAUUUUGAUGUUGAUUAACCUACUAAAGUACAUGUAAACAUCAUUUAACUCUAAUGUGUUAUUUGAUAUUACAUUAAAAAUGUACUAAAUUGCAACUUCAUCAUAAGAUAUGUUUAAUUACAAAUAUAUUUAAAUGACAAGUUUCAACAUAUAUUACGGAUAAUAUAUUUUAUUAUAUAUUAUAUUUUUGUGUGUCACUUUGGAUAAAACCAUCUGAGAAAUGCACAAAUGUAAAUAGAAAAGACAUUGAAGUAUUUUAGUUUAUCAAGAGUUUGUCAGUACAUUCAGCAGUACUUUAAUCAUAAUUCAAAGAAAAUAGGAGUAAUUAUGAAAUUAUAAAUAAUAUACUUUAAUAGAAUGUACUUAAGUGUGUUUUCAGACACUUAAUUACAUGUAAUUUGAAAUGAAAAUACAUUAUAGUUUGAAUUUAUAUUAAACUCAG
Cyprinus carpio carpio is the source of this 1223-nucleotide long non-coding RNA. The record is from Ensembl. NCBI's taxonomy places the organism in Eukaryota, Metazoa, Chordata, Actinopteri, Cypriniformes, Cyprinidae.